CGCGGCCUAUCAGCUUGUUGGUGGGGUAACGGCCCACCAAGGCGACGACGGGUAGCCGGCCUGAGAGGGCGACCGGCCACACUGGGACUGAGACACGGCCCAGACUCCUAUGGGAGGCAGCAGUGGGGAAUAUUGCACAAUGGGCGAAAGGCUGAUGCAGCGACGCCGCGUGGGGGAUGAAGGCCUUCGGGUUGUAAACCCCUUUCAGCAGGGAAGAAGCGAGAGUGACGGUACCUGCAGAAGAAGCGCCGGCUAACUACGUGCCAGCAGCCGCGGUAAUACGUAGGGCGCAAGCGUUGUCCGGAAUUAUUGGGCGUAAAGAGCUCGUAGGCGGUCUGUCGCGUCUGCUGUGAAAACCCGAGGCUCAACCUCGGGCCUGCAGUGGGUACGGGCAGACUAGAGUGCGGUAGGGGAGACUGGAAUUCCUGGUGUAGCGGUGGAAUGCGCAGAUAUCAGGAGGAACACCGAUGGCGAAGGCAGGUCUCUGGGCCGCAACUGACGCUGAGGAGCGAAAGCAUGGGGAGCGAACAGGAUUAGAUACCCUGGUAGUCCAUGCCGUAAACGUUGGGCACUAGGUGUGGGGCUCAUUCCACGAGUUCCGUGCCGCAGCAAACGCAUUAAGUGCCCCGCCUGGGGAGUACGG
Molecule: ribosomal RNA, 643 nt
Filed under: uncultured Actinomycetes bacterium
Lineage: Bacteria; Bacillati; Actinomycetota; Actinomycetes
Description: bacterial SSU rRNA
Rfam family: Bacterial small subunit ribosomal RNA
Source: RNAcentral